CAUUAUUGAAUAAACUUGAACAAGCUGUUUUUGCUGGCUUCUUUGGAGGCAUGUGCACGCUUGUCAUCUUUAUCUUUCCAACUUGUGCACUUAUUGUAGAUCUUGGAAGUUUGAAUUAUUUUCUAUAGAUUGAGGACUGCUGUGCUUUUACUAAAAAAAAGGUCAGCUUUGCCUUGUAUUUCGAGAUCUAUGUUUAUUACAACCUCUUAAUAUGUUAAGAAUGUUAAAAAAAGAGUUAAUUUAUACAACUUUCAGCAACGGAUCUCUUGGCUCUCGCAUCGAUGAAGAACGCAGCGAAAUGUGAUAAGUAAUGUGAAUUGCAGAAUUCAGUGAAUCAUCGAAUCUUUGAACGCAUCUUGCGCUUCUUGGUAUUCCGAGGAGCAUGCCUGUUUGAGUGUCAUUAAAUUCUCAACCAUAUUAAAUUCUUUUGAUAUGGCUUGGUUAUUGGAAGCCUGCAGGUCUUUUUUUAUAUGGGUCUGCUCUUCUAAAAUGCAUUAGUAGUAUAUACUGCUUACAGAUGUGAUAAUUAUUUACAUCUCUAUAGCAGAUCAUGCUGCUACUAACAAAAGUUGAACAUGUAUUAUAUAUUUGACCUCAAAUCAGGUAGGAGUACCCGCUGAACUUAAGCAUAUCAAUAAGCGGAGGAAAAGAAACUAACAAGGAUUCCCUUAGUAACUGCGAGUGAAGUGGGAAAAGCUCAAAUUUGAAAUCUGGCAGUUCUUGACUGUCCGAGUUGUAAUCUAGAGAAG
RNAcentral lists this ribosomal RNA (749 nucleotides) under uncultured Inocybe. Its description in RNAcentral is "eukaryotic LSU rRNA". The stretch from base 247 to 400 matches the Rfam family "5.8S ribosomal RNA". Lineage: Eukaryota; Fungi; Basidiomycota; Agaricomycetes; Agaricales; Cortinariaceae. The record is from RNAcentral.